GUGACUAUGCCCGCUCCUCUCGCAAGGCUUACCUGAGCGGCCCCGGGUCCGGGAGGGCGGUACCGCCCCUCUCCGCCAGGCGGGGAAGCUCCGUCCCACUGCCGGCCCCGCCCCCCCCCGCCCCCCCCCCGUGGCACUUCCUGCACGCUCUGGGCCGUUGGAGGCUUGCAGCUCUGGGCCGUUGGAGGAUUGCAGCUCUGUGCCUGACACCCGCGCUCCGGGGCCACACCGCUGCGGUUGGAAUACUGCCAAGGCCACGUGUCCCGGGAUCUCACAUCUAGGGUACAGAUCAGCUCUUCCCUGGCCAGUGGCAUUGUGACUGUUUCUGCCACUCUGUGGCUGCAACCCAUAGACCACGUGAUGAGAAAAGAAAGGCUUCGGAGCCCAUCCACAUGAGGAAUCAGAAGGACACGGUCACAGAAGGCAAGAUGGGAUCCUGAGCUGGAGGGGACAGUGCCACCAAGGACAGUCAUGUGUCACUUCUCUGUUACUUGAACUUGGUAAGUGUCCUGUACUGUGGUUUUGUGAGAGGAUAUGCCUGAGGUGUUAGGUACCAAAGGACACCAGGCUUGCAAACCACUCUGAGGUCAGGAACAAAGAAUUUGUA
Molecule: long non-coding RNA, 607 nt
Filed under: Heterocephalus glaber (naked mole-rat)
Lineage: Eukaryota; Metazoa; Chordata; Mammalia; Rodentia; Bathyergidae
Description: lncRNA (ENSHGLG00000043731.1)
Source: RNAcentral